AAACUACGUUAAACGGUGUGAAUUGCAGAACACGCAGAACACUGGAACUUUGAACGCACAUGGCAGGUUAGUGUUAUAACUAACCUUUGUCUGUGUGAGGGUUGUAUUCAGAGAAUGAAGGCUACUUUUUGAAGAGCGGGGAGGUUGCCUGUUAAAUGUGUGACAUGCCCGCUGAUAACAGUAAAAACACACUUGUGUUGCGCCUCUGGCCAGCGUCGGAGGUUAACAGCAACUGGACGAGUGUUACCUAUCUUUCUCACAACCUCACAUCAGGCAAGAUUACCCGCUUAAUUUAA
RNAcentral lists this unclassified non-coding RNA (296 nucleotides) under uncultured fungus. Its description in RNAcentral is "sequence contains ITS1". The stretch from base 1 to 104 matches the Rfam family "5.8S ribosomal RNA", at positions 50 to 154 of the family's 154-position model. The record is from RNAcentral. Lineage: Eukaryota; Fungi.